CUGCACCUUUCUUAGACCUCAUUUAAGGGCUGACUGCCCCUGGUGAAGGGUCUCUUUUUGGAGGUCUCUUCUGGUGAGGUUUUCCUUUGCAAAUAGAGAAUCUUCUGAGAUGGCAUGUACACUCACCAUACCAAUCCACAUCGUGUGCCCCCUGCAGAGAGGUUCAGGAAGCAUUGGGAAGAAGAGCUGCUGCCUUUUGGUCUCCGAAAGACAGAAAAAAAGGAAAUAAAAAUGAGCAAGAAUUGUUUGGAGGAAUAAGUGAAGAUGAAAGAUGACUGCACAGAAAAUAAGCCCUGAGAGUCAAGCUGUAGCAUCAUGGGUUUCCCUGGGAGGAGAGGGUGCUGGGGCAGGGACCUGGGCACCCUGGGGACUGUAAGGUGCUCAGCCUGAAGAACUGGGAAGCCCCACUUUCCCCUACUGGCUGCAGCUGGGCCAGCACUCAGAUGCAUGCCCUUUUCUGCCUCAGCUGUUUUUCAUUAUUUGUUGUUGGAGAUUACUCCCCUUCACCUGCUGGGUGCACAACUAUGAUGAAGAUGAUCAGUAAUUUCACCUGCAUGUGCCAGUAGUGUUCAUAAAACAAUUGUACAGAACUAGAAGGUCUGAGCCUUCCUCCAGUGAGGUGUGGAAAUAAUGUCUUCCUUAGUGGGCCUAAUUGAAACUGGAAAAGCAGUUAUGAAUGGCCUCCAAACAAAACCUCCAGAUUCCAAGAUGUAAAGCCUCACUGAAAUGCCUGUCAUGCAAACAGCAACUUCAGUCCCUGCUUAAGACUUGCAGCUCCUGCUGUAGAUGUUAAGCUCUAAAUUCAUACAAGUUUCAGCUGCUUCCCAAUAGGCUUUGUCUGUUAUAGAGUGAUGUGGUAUCUAGUUGUUUGUAGAUUAUGAUAUGUACACUGUAAGUGGAGGUAGAAUUGUUAUACUGCUUCAUUGAACUAGGAACAUCAAAUGAGUUCACAGUCUCUUGGUACUGUUUAUACAUUUUAUGGGGCUGCCAGCUUCCAUAACUAAGCCCUGUUUUCCCUGUUUGUGCAGGAAAGGUAGGAGUUGAUAACUGGUAAUCUAAAAGAAACACUUCAUUUUGUGUAUCUUAAUGCAUAAGAUACUUUUUGAGGCUUUUGUGAACUGAAAUAUAGACAAACUGCCUAUCUAUGAAUGUCAGUAUAUUACUUGAAUAUUUUUUUCUGUAAAUCAGCCUAUAGUGUAUUGUUCACAUGAAAUAACAGUUGAGUAUUCUGUAGUCUAUUCCAUGGUGUAUUCUAACUGGUCAGUAUUCCUGAAAUACACAGGUAUCAAAUUCUC
Long non-coding RNA from Tympanuchus pallidicinctus (lesser prairie-chicken), 1295 nucleotides. RefSeq lists it as uncharacterized. The transcript has 3 exons. The record is from RefSeq and is a predicted model, not a curated record. Lineage: Eukaryota; Metazoa; Chordata; Aves; Galliformes; Phasianidae.